GACGAACGCUGGCGGCGUGCCUAAUACAUGCAAGUAGAACGCUGAAGAGAGGAGCUUGCUCUUCUUGGAUGAGUUGCGAACGGGUGAGUAACGCGUAGGUAACCUGCCUGGUAGCGGGGGAUAACUAUUGGAAACGAUAGCUAAUACCGCAUGACAUUGAUUAUCGCAUGAUAAUUGAUUGAAAGAUGCAAUUGCAUCACUACCAGAUGGACCUGCGUUGUAUUAGCUAGCUGGUGAGGUAACGGCUCACCAAGGCGACGAUACAUAGCCGACCUGAGAGGGUGAUCGGCCACACUGGGACUGAGACACGGCCCAGACUCCUACGGGAGGCAGCAGUAGGGAAUCUUCGGCAAUGGGGGGAACCCUGACCGAGCAACGCCGCGUGAGUGAAGAAGGUUUUCGGAUCGUAAAGCUCUGUUGUAAAGAGAAAGAAACGGGUGUGAGA
Molecule: ribosomal RNA, 445 nt
Filed under: Streptococcus sanguinis
Lineage: Bacteria; Bacillati; Bacillota; Bacilli; Lactobacillales; Streptococcaceae
Description: bacterial SSU rRNA
Rfam family: Bacterial small subunit ribosomal RNA
Source: RNAcentral